RNAcentral lists this ribosomal RNA (411 nucleotides) under uncultured marine bacterium. RNAcentral describes it as "bacterial SSU rRNA". It matches the Rfam family "Bacterial small subunit ribosomal RNA", at positions 1 to 413 of the family's 1533-position model. The record is from RNAcentral.
UAGAGUUUGAUCCUGGCUCAGAUUGAACGCUGGCGGUAUGCUUAACACAUGCAAGUCGAACGGAAACGAUACUAGCUUGCUAGUAGGCGUCGAGUGGCGGACGGGUGAGUAACGCGUAGGAAUCUACCUAAUAGUGGGGGAUAGCCCGGAGAAAUCCGGAUUAAUACCGCAUAAUCUGUGUGGAGUAAAGGGGCCCUCUUCUUGAAAGGUUUCGCUAUCAGAUGAGCCUGCGUAAGAUUAGCUAGUUGGUGAGGUAAAAGCUCACCAAGGCGACGAUCUUUAGCUGGUCUGAGAGGAUGAUCAGCCACACUGGGACUGAGACACGGCCCAGACUCCUACGGGAGGCAGCAGUGGGGAAUAUUGGACAAUGGGGGCAACCCUGAUCGCAGCAAUACCGCGUGUGUGAAGAAG